RNAcentral lists this ribosomal RNA (666 nucleotides) under uncultured archaeon. RNAcentral's name for it is "bacterial SSU rRNA". It matches the Rfam family "Archaeal small subunit ribosomal RNA", at positions 185 to 852 of the family's 1478-position model. The record is from RNAcentral.
GGAUCAAAGCUCAGGCGGCAUAGGAUGGGCCUGCGGCGUAUCAGGUUGUAGGGGUUGUAAAGUACCCUCUAGCCAUCUACGCGUACGGGUGUUGGGAGACAUAGCCCGGAGAUGGAUUCUGAGACACGAAUCCAGACCCUACGGGGUGCAGCAGGCGCGAAAACUUGACAAUGCGAGCAAUCGUGAUCAGGGAACUCCAAGUGGCUGGGGUAAGACCCAGUCUUUUCAUAACUCUUCAAAGUUUGUAGAAUAAGGGGUGGGUAAGGACGGUGCCAGCCGCCGCGGUAAUACCGGCGCCUCAAGUGGUAGUCGCUUUUAUUGGGCCUAAAACGUCCGUAGCCGGUUUGGUACAUUCGUGGGUAAAUCAACUCGCUCAACGAGUUGAAUUCUGCGAGGACGGCCAGACUUGGGACCGGGAGAGGUGUGGGGUACUCUCAGGGUAGGGGUAAAAUCCUGUCAUCCUGAGAGGACCACCUGUUGCGAAGGCGCCACACUAGAACGGAUCCGACGGUCAGGGACGAAGCCUAGGGGCACGAACCGGAUUAGAUACCCGGGUAGUCCUAGGUGUAAACGCUGUGGACUUGAUGUUGGAGAAGCUCCGAGCUUCUUCAGUGUCGAAGCGAAGGUGAUAAGUCCACUGCCUGGGAAGUACGGUCGCAAGGCUGA